This 70-nucleotide transfer RNA is filed under the name Anolis sagrei (brown anole). RNAcentral's name for it is "tRNA-Ala". Lineage: Eukaryota; Metazoa; Chordata; Lepidosauria; Squamata; Anolidae. The record is from RNAcentral. RNAcentral also lists the same sequence under 1 other name.
UAAGACUUGUGAAAUGCUAAUCCACAUCUUCUGAAUGCAACUCAAACACUUUUAUUAAGCUAAAGCCUUA